RNAcentral lists this small RNA (130 nucleotides) under human gut metagenome. RNAcentral's name for it is "Staphylococcus-1 RNA". It matches the Rfam family "Staphylococcus-1 RNA". From Rfam's summary of the family: Firmicute (1 example). The record is from RNAcentral.
AUAAAUCUGAACAUUUUCGGUGGAAUACCACAGAAAACGAAUCGACUAAUCUUCUGUAAUGCUAUUAUGAGGAUUGCCCUUUGAGGUUUAUAGCGAUAGGUCGCCCUAUGGUCGGUUACAUGCUUUUGUU